UUUGGCUUAUUUGGUAUAAAAAUUAUACGAAAAGCAUUCUCAAAUGUGAAAUGGUGUUUGGCUUUCUUUGGGCUGUAUUUGCAUAAAUGUUUCAUUGGUAUAUGUUCCAAAAUAAUGGGAAAGCCCUAUAAUUCUAAUAUGACUUAGUAUAUAUUAUUAAUAAUUAUAAUUGUCAUUGUAUGGCACAGAGGUAACCAAAUUUCUCUGUCAAUCAUGUUUUUGACUGUGGCUGUCCUAAGACGUUUUGUCACCUACAGAUAAUUGUUGUCUCAUUUUAGUCCUCUUUAGAAGGUGGUUUUAUAGUCAGCUACAGAACUCCAACAGGUACACUUGAAUACAGAUUUCUGAUAACUUUAGAGACUGUGACAUCAGAACAGAGAAAACAACUUCCAGAAGUCUCAUGGAGAGCUAAAAUGUUCAUGAAUAUCAAGCAGAACAGAAAUUAACUUCAUGGAAUAAACUGAAGAAGUCUAAAGUAAUCCGUUUAUCUUUUUGCUUAAAACAUUGCUGAUUCUUUGUUUUGUUUUUCAGAAUGAAGGAAAUUUUUCUUUAGAGCUAUUUACAGCCUUUGACAAUUGAGUAGAGUAUACUCCUGUGAACAAAAUUUGGAGCAUAUUUGUUUCUCUCUAGCUGAUUUCUCCAGAAUUUGGAAACACAUAUUUGCUAACCCUACUUAUUCUUGCGUACCAACCAGUGAUCUCUAACUGCUGCUCAGAAAAAACAAGAAGGAUGGGUAAUGUAAAAAUCUAAAUCAGUUAAUUCUGGGCACAUUGCAAAUAGCUAGCAACCCCACAUCAGCUUGGUUCCACCUGUUGCCCAGUUCAUGAAAAGUCUUCUAAUUUAGUUUGUUUGGGAUAAUUUUACUUGUUUUGCUUUAUUCUUGUGGAAUAUAUUGCUGUUGUACUCUUGGUAUAGGAAUGCAGAAUAAGCUUACUAAAUGUUUUCUUAAAUUGAACACUUAAUUAAUCUCCCAGAUAUCACCUUUUGUCAGAACUCAAGAGUUAUAAAUGACCCUCAGCAUACCAACUCUUUCUAACUGAGCUCCUCUCUACCCUGAACACAAGAGACCCUAAUGGUUAGGCAGGAAUAUCAUCGCCCGUAUUCAGCCUGAAGAUGUUACAGAAGAUGGAUCUUCAUCCCUCAGCAACCCUUAGGAUUAAGAGUUUUCUUAUAAAAGUGGGGGAAAUAGCAGAGGUGUUUGAAGCAGAGCUACUCCAUCUUGAAUAGGAGCUGGGUUAAAUAAGGGUGAGAUCUACUGGGCUGCAUUUCCAGAUGGUUAAGGCACUCUAAGUCUCAGGAUGAGACAGGAAGUUGGCACAAGAUACAGGUUAUAAAGACCUUGCUGAUAAAACAGGUUGCAGUAAAGAUGCCAGCUAAAACCCAGCAAAACCAAAAUGGAGACGAGAGUGACCUCUGGUCAUACUCACUGCUACAUUCCCACCAGCGCCAUGACAGUUUACGGAUGCCAUGGAAGCAUCAGGAAGUUACC
Molecule: long non-coding RNA, 1489 nt
Filed under: Homo sapiens (human)
Lineage: Eukaryota; Metazoa; Chordata; Mammalia; Primates; Hominidae
Description: HSALNT0272604
Source: RNAcentral